Molecule: transfer-messenger RNA, 358 nt
Filed under: Kiritimatiellaceae bacterium
Lineage: Bacteria; Pseudomonadati; Kiritimatiellota; Kiritimatiellia; Kiritimatiellales; Kiritimatiellaceae
Also listed under: 1 other name
Rfam family: transfer-messenger RNA
About the family: Bacterial tmRNA, also known as 10Sa RNA or SsrA, is named for its dual tRNA and mRNA-like properties.
Source: RNAcentral
GGGGGUGACUGGUUUCGACGUUUAAGUUGAAGCUUCAGUGGCGUGUCGAGGGUGUCGGUUGGCCUCGUAAAAAAGCCGGCAAAAACAAUAAGUGCCAACGAACAGUACGCACUCGCGGCCUAAAUAAAGGCCCGACGUCUUCCCUCUGACACCUGCUGAGAGGAUGAAGACGACGACAGCAGGAUAGUUCCAAAGCCGGGCAGCCGGACCGCGGGGCGAAACUCCAACAGGCUGCUGGCGUUCGUGAUGGCCCUGUCUGCUGACAGUCACGAAGGCGAGACCUUAAAGGCAGACUACACACGUAGAAGCUGUUGUGACGCUUGGGCGGACGGGGGUUCGAUUCCCCCCACCUCCACCA